This 243-nucleotide unclassified non-coding RNA is filed under the name Hevea brasiliensis (rubber tree). Lineage: Eukaryota; Viridiplantae; Streptophyta; Magnoliopsida; Malpighiales; Euphorbiaceae. The record is from RNAcentral.
GAGAGAAGAUGGAGAUGGUGGCGGUUUUUCAUUGUGAUGGGAGUGGCGGUCGCUGGAUUUCUGUUUCCUAGCAGCAGGGCUUCACAACAGGAGCAACUGAUGGAGCCUCAGCCUGUGGUAUCCAGGAUUGCGUUUGGAUCAUGCGCUCACCAGGAUGCUCCUCAGCCAAUCUGGAACUCCAUAAUCAACUUCGACCCGCAUGUUUUCAUUUGGCUUGGUGAUAACAUCUAUGGAGACAUUAGG